UGAGGAAUAUUGGACAAUGGGUGGAAGCCUGAUCCAGCCAUCCCGCGUGAAGGACGACGGCCCUAUGGGUUGUAAACUUCUUUUGUACAGGGAUAAACCUCCCCUCGUGAGGGGAGCUGAAGGUACUGUACGAAUAAGCACCGGCUAACUCCGUGCCAGCAGCCGCGGUAAUACGGAGGGUGCAAGCGUUAUCCGGAUUUAUUGGGUUUAAAGGGUCCGUAGGCGGGCCCGUAAGUCAGUGGUGAAAUCUCGCAGCUUAACUGCGAAACUGCCAUUGAUACUGCGGGUCUUGAGUGAAUUUGAAGUGGCUGGAAUAAGUAGUGUAGCGGUGAAAUGCAUAGAUAUUACUUAGAACACCGAUUGCGAAGGCAGGUCACUAAGAUUCAACUGACGCUGAGGGACGAAAGCGUGGGGAGCGAACAGG
RNAcentral lists this ribosomal RNA (424 nucleotides) under uncultured bacterium. RNAcentral describes it as "bacterial SSU rRNA". It matches the Rfam family "Bacterial small subunit ribosomal RNA", at positions 355 to 776 of the family's 1533-position model. The record is from RNAcentral. RNAcentral also lists the same sequence under 1 other name.